CUCAGAUUGAACGCUGGCGGCAGGCCUAACACAUGCAAGUCGAACGGUAACAGGAAGCAGCUUGCUGCUUUGCUGACGAGUGGCGGACGGGUGAGUAAUGUCUGGGAAACUGCCUGAUGGAGGGGGAUAACUACUGGAAACGGUAGCUAAUACCGCAUAACGUCGCAAGACCAAAGAGGGGGACCUUAGGGCCUCUUGCCAUCGGAUGUGCCCAGAUGGGAUUAGCUAGUAGGUGGGGUAACGGCUCACCUAGGCGACGAUCCCUAGCUGGUCUGAGAGGAUGACCAGCCACACUGGAACUGAGACACGGUCCAGACUCCUACGGGAGGCAGCAGUGGGGAAUAUUGCACAAUGGGCGCAAGCCUGAUGCAGCCAUGCCGCGUGUAUGAAGAAGGCCUUCGGGUUGUAAAGUACUUUCAGCGGGGAGGAAGGGAGUAAAGUUAAUACCUUUGCUCAUUGACGUUACCCGCAGAAGAAGCACCGGCUAACUCCAUGCCAGCAGCCGCGGUAAUACGGAGGGUGCAAGCGUUAAUCGGAAUUACUGGGCGUAAAGCGCACGCAGGCGGUUUGUUAAGUCAGAUGUGAAAUCCCCGGGCUCAACCUGGGAACUGCAUCUGAUACUGGCAAGCUUGAGUCUCGUAGAGGGGGGUAGAAUUCCAGGUGUAGCGGUGAAAUGCGUAGAGAUCUGGAGGAAUACCGGUGGCGAAGGCGGCCCCCUGGACGAAGACUGACGCUCAGGUGCGAAAGCGUGGGGAGCAAACAGGAUUAGAUACCCUGGUAGUCCACGCCGUAAACGAUGUCGACUUGGAGGUUGUGCCCUUGAGGCGUGGCUUCCGGAGCUAACGCGUUAAGUCGACCGCCUGGGGAGUACGGCCGCAAGGUUAAAACUCAAAUGAAUUGACGGGGGCCCGCACAAGCGGUGGAGCAUGUGGUUUAAUUCGAUGCAACGCGAAGAACCUUACCUGGUCUUGACAUCCACGGAAGUUUUCAGAGAUGAGAAUGUGCCUUCGGGAACCGUGAGACAGGUGCUGCAUGGCUGUCGUCAGCUCGUGUUGUGAAAUGUUGGGUUAAGUCCCGCAACGAGCGCAACCCUUAUCCUUUGUUGCCAGCGGUCCGGCCGGGAACUCAAAGGAGACUGCCAGUGAUAAACUGGAGGAAGGUGGGGAUGACGUCAAGUCAUCAUGGCCCUUACGACCUGGGCUACACACGUGCUACAAUGGCGCAUACAAAGAGAAGCGACCUCGCGAGAGCAAGCGGACCUCAUAAAGUGCGUCGUAGUCCGGAUUGGAGUCUGCAACUCGACUCCAUGAAGUCGGAAUCGCUAGUAAUCGUGGAUCAGAAUGCCACGGUGAAUACGUUCCCGGGCCUUGUACACACCGCCCGUCACACCAUGGGAGUGGGUUGCAAAAGAAGUAGGUAGCUUAACCUUCGGGAGGGCGCUUACCACUUUGUGAUUCAUGACUGGGGAAGGUCGUAACAAGGUA
RNAcentral lists this ribosomal RNA (1484 nucleotides) under uncultured bacterium. Its description in RNAcentral is "bacterial SSU rRNA". It matches the Rfam family "Bacterial small subunit ribosomal RNA". The record is from RNAcentral.